This 83-nucleotide transfer RNA is filed under the name Gemmatimonadota bacterium. RNAcentral's name for it is "tRNA-Leu". It matches the Rfam family "tRNA". Rfam says of the family: Transfer RNA (tRNA) molecules are approximately 80 nucleotides in length. Their secondary structure includes four short double-helical elements and three loops (D, anti-codon, and T loops). The record is from RNAcentral. Lineage: Bacteria; Pseudomonadati; Gemmatimonadota.
GCGAAAGUGGCGGAACUGGUAGACGCGCGGGAUUUAGGAUCCCGUGGUUAAUAGCCGUGGGGGUUCGAGUCCCCCCUUUCGCA